AAGUCGUAACAAGGUAACCGUAGGUGAACCUGCGGUUGGAUCAUUACAAAGAUUCCCGAAUGACGAGAGCCGGGUACAUCAAACAGUAGGUUGCAAACGAAAGCUGCAAACGCAAGCAAUCUUGGUUGCAUUGCGAAUGCGGGCCAUUGUUUGAUGUGCUAGCCUCGAGGUUCAAAAAACCACCUUUUGUGAAUUGUCCCGUCUCUGGCGAGAGGGCAGCGAAAGCUGCUUGUCAGCAUUGUUACAAUGCCGUGGACAGCUCGCCAAACACUUCUAUACUUUUUCUUUACCUUUAUGUCUGACAUUAAUUGUACAAAAAUACAAAACAACUUUUGGCAACGGAUCUCUUGGCUCUC
RNAcentral lists this unclassified non-coding RNA (356 nucleotides) under fungal sp. RNAcentral's name for it is "partial internal transcribed spacer region". The stretch from base 1 to 46 matches the Rfam family "Eukaryotic small subunit ribosomal RNA", at positions 1786 to 1831 of the family's 1831-position model. The record is from RNAcentral. Lineage: Eukaryota; Fungi.